Syzygium oleosum is the source of this 503-nucleotide long non-coding RNA. RefSeq lists it as uncharacterized. The record is from RefSeq and is a predicted model, not a curated record. NCBI's taxonomy places the organism in Eukaryota, Viridiplantae, Streptophyta, Magnoliopsida, Myrtales, Myrtaceae. The transcript has 2 exons.
ACUUUGAGGCGGGAUACACUGGACAUUAGAGAAGAGGAUUAUUACACAUCAUUGUACAAUGAGAGCCAAUCUAACCUUGUGCGGUGUGCAUAUUGAUUGGUAUUUCACUUUCUUCUCUGGGCUUGUGGGACUUUGAGUAUCGCAUUGUAUGUCAACAAGUGAAUGUCACUUCUUUGGAGGAGGUGAUGAAGCACUUCAUGCAAACCUUAUAGGAGAAAGCAGAGUGGGCGCAAGAUUGGAAGUAUCUUUUCAUACAAAUCGGGGAUAAGCUUUGCUUCAGCAUCUUCAGUGCCAGAAGUGCAGUUGGCCCAAUAUGUUCCUCGCCCUGGAAAGAAUUGCCACCCUGAGGUUGCUUAAGCAAGUGCUUUAAAGUGCUCAAGAUUAUUUAUUCUCUAAUUAUGUGUACUAUAAAUAAAAAUAUAUAUGUCAUUCUUGUGGAAAAUGCAGAUGAAUGUAUUUCAUUUUCAUAUUAUUAUAAUAUUUUGAUGUUAUUAAGUGCUUAA